GAUGAAGAACGUAGCGAAAUGCGAUACUUGGUGUGAAUUGCAGAAUCCCGUGAACCAUCGAGUCUUUGAACGCAAGUUGCGCCCGAAGCCACUAGGCCGAGGGCACGCCUGCCUGGGCGUCACACGCCGUUGCCCCCCCAUCUACUCCUUCGGGAUUGCGGGGGGGCGGAUGAUGGCCUCCCGUGCGCCUAGCCGCGCGGUUGGCAUAAAUACCAAGUCCUCGGCGACGCACGCCACGACAAUCGGUGGUUGCGAAACCUCGGUUGCCCGUCGUGUGCGUUCGUCGCGCAUCGAGGGCUCGAAAAAAUGCUCGGCUCCGGCUGGGCUUUCAACGCGACCCCAGGUCAGGCGGGGUUACCCGCUGAAUUUAAGCAUAACAAUAAGCGGAGGA
RNAcentral lists this unclassified non-coding RNA (391 nucleotides) under soil metagenome. RNAcentral describes it as "partial contains 5.8S ribosomal RNA, internal transcribed spacer 2, and large subunit ribosomal RNA". The stretch from base 1 to 122 matches the Rfam family "5.8S ribosomal RNA", at positions 35 to 154 of the family's 154-position model. The record is from RNAcentral.